RNAcentral lists this ribosomal RNA (442 nucleotides) under uncultured bacterium. RNAcentral describes it as "bacterial SSU rRNA". It matches the Rfam family "Bacterial small subunit ribosomal RNA", at positions 28 to 478 of the family's 1533-position model. The record is from RNAcentral.
GAUGAACGCUGGCGGCGUGCUUAACACAUGCAAGUCGAACGGGAUCCAUCGGGCUUUGCUUGGUGGUGAGAGUGGCGAACGGGUGAGUAAUGCGUGACCGACCUGCCCCAUGCUCCGGAAUAGCUCCUGGAAACGGGUGGUAAUGCCGGAUGUUCCACAUGAUCGCAUGUGAUUGUGGGAAAGAUUCUAUCGGCGUGGGAUGGGGUCGCGUCCUAUCAGCUUGUUGGUGAGGUAACGGCUCACCAAGGCUUCGACGGGUAGCCGGCCUGAGAGGGCGACCGGCCACAUUGGGACUGAGAUACGGCCCAGACUCCUACGGGAGGCAGCAGUGGGGAAUAUUGCACAAUGGGCGCAAGCCUGAUGCAGCGACGCCGCGUGAGGGAUGGAGGCCUUCGGGUUGUAAACCUCUUUUGUUUGGGAGCAAGCCUUCGGGUGAGUGUAC